RNAcentral lists this ribosomal RNA (561 nucleotides) under Corythalia cf. latipes JXZ-2013. Its description in RNAcentral is "partial 16S ribosomal RNA". Lineage: Eukaryota; Metazoa; Arthropoda; Arachnida; Araneae; Salticidae. The record is from RNAcentral.
UUUAUAGUAAAAUCUGCUCAAUGAUUUUAUUUCAAUAGCCGCAAUUAGUGCUAAGGUAGCAUAAUCAAUUGUCUUUCAAAUAAAGACUAGAACAAAAGAUUUAACAUUUUAUUCAUUUUAUUAAAUUUUUCUUCAAAAUUAUUUUAUUUGUAAAAAAACAAAUAUUUAUAAAAAAGACGAUAAGACCCUUUUGAACUUAACUUCAGUUAAACUGGGGCAGUUAAUCAUUUAAUAUUUUAAUAUUAAAAUUCAAAUAAAUAUCUAAUUAUAUUUAAAUCAUCAAGUUACCAUAGGGAUAACAGCGCAAUAAUAUUUUAUAGACCUUAUAUAAAAAAUAGAUUACGACCUCGAUGUUGAAUUAAUUACCUAAAUAGAGCAAGAUUUAAAUAAAAGGAAGUCUGUUCGACUUUUAAAAAAUUACAUGAUUUGAGUUCAGACCGGUGUAAACCAGGUCGGUUUCCAUCUUUUUUACAGUUUUCUGUAGUACGAAAGGACCCACAAAUAUAAUAAUAUUUUUAUAUUAGCAAAUAAAUGCAUUAGAAUUAGAAUCUAAUAAAACUU